UCAGACUAAUUUUAUUUUUUUUUUUUAGUGUUUGCCCAUUACCUCCUGUCCUGUCACUGGAUACCUCUGGUUCCAUCUUCUUCACUGACCCUCCCUAUCAAAUGUUUAUACAAAUUGAUAAGAUCUCCCUUGAUGCUUCUCUUCUGCAGGCUGAGCAGUCCCAGAUCUCUCAGCCUUGCCGCAUAUGAGAGUUGCUCCAGUAUCUUAAUUAUUCUCACUGGACUUGCUUCAGUAAGUAUCUUGUACUGGGAAGCCCACAACUGGAGACAGGACUCCUGAGGUGGCAUCACCAAUGCUGACCCACUGUUAGUCACAGCUCGAAAAAGAACCAUGUGAUACAGCAUCUUUGGGUGAAGUUAGAGACGUUUCCUAACAAAUCAUGAGCUUACAGAAUUUUUCUAGUGUUUUGGAGCAUUAUAUGGUUGAGGCUGGUGCUGUCUCCUUCAAAGGGAAAAGUCCAAAACAACUUGAGAAGGGAUGAGGAGUUUCUGGAACAUCCAUGGUUACCCCUGACCCACAGAAAAGGGGGAAAGCAUUUGUACAGCUGAGGUGAGAAAUUCAGCGAGUGAACUGAGACCUCCUUCUUCCUGUCCCACAGACUGUGAUAUUUGACAAGGCUCUGCUGUAGUUUACUUACUUGGAGAAAGCAUCUGCAUUGCCUACAUAUCCCUAGGCAGGACAAAAGUGCGCAGGAGGGAGGUACAGUGCUUGAGGCUGUAUGAAGGUCCAGAUAGCAACAAGGUGUCAAGUCUAUGGACGUACUAUUCAUCCCACCACCAGCAACAAUCAUUCACCUCUCAGAUAAUAGACUACUGGAUGGAAAAGACAAAAAUUUUUAAAAAGUGACUGAGUUCAGAAAACUCAAGGAGAAGCAUUUGGGGAAGGAGAGAGAAGCACUCAUCCAAUGGUUCUCAAACUUUUCUGUGAGAAAUCAACAUAUUGAAGGACAUUAGAAUGGUGUCCUGCAAAUGCACCUUGAGCAUCUAAACUGGAAUCCCCUUCUGAGGGGUAUUUUUUGGCUGUUCACAGAUUAAGCACCUUACUCUUCAUACUACUCUUGCAAUAGUAAAAUAUUUUGAGCAGUGCAACAAAACAUACAUACCCUCUUUAUUCUAAAACUGUCUUCCGCUAGCCUGCUAAAACCAAGUUUAAGACCGUUCAUUUAUGAAAACAGAGACCUUUUUUCAAAAUGUGCUAAUUCGCAACAGCCUAUUAAGUUGCACCACAGGCUCCGUUGUGUGCUUAGACACAAAUUGCUGAAAGAAAAUGGUUUAGUGCAUUUAAUUUCCAUGUAUUCAGUCACAAUAUAUUUACAAUUGUGAGAUAAAUGUAAAUAAGUUUCUCCCUUUUAUAUAAGUAAAGUAAGCACUUUGUGGUAUAUUUCCUU
This is a long non-coding RNA of Strigops habroptila (Kakapo), 1387 nucleotides long. RefSeq lists it as uncharacterized. The transcript is spliced from 3 exons. NCBI's taxonomy places the organism in Eukaryota, Metazoa, Chordata, Aves, Psittaciformes, Psittacidae. The record is from RefSeq and is a predicted model, not a curated record.